GAUGAACGCUGGCGGCGUGCCUAAUACAUGCAAGUCGAGCGAACAGAUGAGGAGCUUGCUCCUCUGACGUUAGCGGCGGACGGGUGAGUAACACGUGGAUAACCUACCUAUAAGACUGGGAUAACUUCGGGAAACCGGAGCUAAUACCGGAUAAUAUAUUGAACCGCAUGGUUCAAUAGUGAAAGACGGUUUUGCUGUCACUUAUAGAUGGAUCCGCGCCGCAUUAGCUAGUUGGUAAGGUAACGGCUUACCAAGGCAACGAUGCGUAGCCGACCUGAGAGGGUGAUCGGCCACACUGGAACUGAGACGCGAUCCAGACUCCUACGGAAGGCAGAAGUAGGAAAUCUUCCGCAAGGGGCGAAAGCCUGACGGAGCAACGCCGCGUGAGUGAUGAAGGUCUUCGGAUCGUAAAACUCUGUUAUUAGGGAAGAACAAAUGUGUAAGUAACUAUGCACGUCUUGACGGUACCUAAGCAGAAAGCCACGGCUAACUACGU
RNAcentral lists this ribosomal RNA (496 nucleotides) under uncultured bacterium. RNAcentral's name for it is "partial 16S ribosomal RNA". It matches the Rfam family "Bacterial small subunit ribosomal RNA", at positions 28 to 506 of the family's 1533-position model. The record is from RNAcentral.